UGCGGUAACCGGCUCCGCGCCUCCGGCCGCGACUGCGGGGGAAAGCGCGCCGAGCGGAGCAGCCGGGCCGCGUACCGCCUGCAGAGCGAGCGGCUCCCAUGCCUGGCGGUUACGGAGUGAUGGGUGACGAGGGCUCCAUCGAUUACAGCGUUCACGAGGCCUGGAAUGAAGCCACCAACGUGUACCUGGUAGUGAUCCUUGUCAGCUUUGGGCUCUUCAUGUAUGCGAAGAGAAAUAAAAGGAAAAUUAUGAGAAUAUUCAGUGUGCCACCUCCUACAGACACUCUGUCAGAGCCCAACUUUUAUGACACAAUAAGCAAAAUUCGUUUAAGACAGCAACUGGAAAUGUACUCCAUUUCAAAUUCACAGAGACAGAAAGCAGAAUCGUCACCAGGAGUGGGAGAGGAAGGAGUGGAGAGUUACUGUGUCAUGAGGACAGAGCACUUGACCUGCAGCAGUGUGGCCUCACCAGUGAAGGAGCAAAGGCUUUACUAAAGGCCCUUGAAAGCAACAGAACUCUGGUCGUUUUGGAUAUAAGAAAAAAAUCCACUUGUUGAUCAUUCUGUGAUGAAAGCAGUUAUCAAAAAAGUUCUCCAGAUGGAAGGAGUGCCAAGUCAGAGGCUCAAAGAUUUGGAAAGAGAUAGUUUAACAGAAAAGAUUUGUCCUUGGAGAACGGAGCUCAUGCUUUCAGUCGGGAAGUGAAUGGAUGUCUAGAAAACGGGAGCCAGACAAGUGGUGAGAAGCGCAGAGUGGAAAUAGCAGAGAAAAAGAAGUCCCCCAAACCUGUUUCCAAACUUUGCAUGCCCAGGAGAAGCAAGUCCGAUGGAGAAACAAAAUGCUCUCCAGAAAGCACGUGCAGAUACGCCCACCCCACCCUCGGACUCCGCGGGCCACAGCUGGAGGGACCAGCCAAGGAACCGAGGCAGGAAGAGGCCAGAGGUCACCGGGCCUCGGCCAGAGCCUGUCAGUCGGUCCCCUUUCACACACCACCAGACGAUCCUCUUGACCUGGGCAGUAGCCGCCAACCGGCCGCUAAGCCACGCAAAGGGGUGAAGCCCUGACACUCGCUGCCACGUGCAUGGACCCUGAGAACACGAUGCUCAGCGAGAGAAGUCAGACACAGAAGGACACACAGGGUGUGACCCUACUGAGGGGAAACGUCCAGAACAGGCAACUCUUGAGUACAUGUACUUAACAUGCAGGGAACCAGUCCUGACUCCUUGAUCUGGGGCUUCCAGCCUCCAGAGUCUCGAGGACAUCCAUUUCUGUUGUUCACGCGCCAAGUGCGUGGGCUUUGAUGAUGGAAGCUGACACCGAGGACGUUGCCACGUGCAGGGUGACAUCAGCGGAAGAAUCCCGUGGCAAGGGCCUGCCUGAGGACCACGCGCGCCCGGGCCCUCCCCGGCCCCUGCCCGCAGCCCCGCACCCGCACCCACCUGGGAGCGGAGCUGGUGCAUCGCUUGCCAGAACUCGUGGAAGUGGAAGGUCAGCCCCAGCAGCUCCUGGGAGAUGCCCAGCAGCCCGCGCGUGACCACCUGCGUGGGGAAGGACUCAUUGAGCAGGUCCUUUUGGAACCAGAAAUGGCGUGAACCGUGAUGGGCUCUAAGGCCAAGGGCAGGAAGAAAUGCGGCCAGGCUCUCCAGGAGCCACCCAGGGGCCUCCCCGGGCUGAACAAUACAAACUCGGCUGCAGUGCAGACAGCAGCUCAUCCCCACGGCGCCCGAACACCCAGCCCCUGGACGGCGAGACGCCUGUUGCUGCAGGUGGCCCGUGGCUCGCUGGUGAGGCCCGGCCCCAGGCGUACGCCACCUCUUCUGGGGCCACCUCUCCGGUUCUGCGGUGGGGUUCUCCUGGAAGCCCCCAGUCACCACAGGACCAACGUGGCCUGUCUGCAGCCCAAGAAGGUGGGGACACAGGACUGUCCCCCGUGCCCCCCACAUCACCCGCGAGGCCGAGCAAGCACCAGUGGUGUCUGCGGGGAAGACGAAGGGCUCGUGCACAGCCCCCAUCUACUGAAGAUGCUGAACGGGAGAAGCACAGACUGCAGCCACACGCGGUAUGGACCAAACACAAGUGUCCUUGCAGGAACCGAUGUCUGAAUGUCAAGGCCGUACCCGGGCCACAGUGAGAAGGCCCAGACCCCACGCAAGGCACAGAGAGGGGAUGGGGGGAACAUCUGCGAAUCUGAGCUCAUCAGGCAUCACCCCAGAGGGAGAAGGAGAAGGAGAGGGAGAGAGGCAGAAGGAGAUACGGAGGGAGAGGGAGAGAGAGGGAGGAAGAGACUUCUCUCCCUUCCCUGGGGGUUCUCUAGUGCAGCCAAGGCCGAAAACCACUGCAAUUCGGGAAAUGGGUCCUCGUAGAAAAGUUAAAUAGUAGCUCAUGGCAUUAUGGACACAUAAUAAAAAGGCCCAAAAUCUUGGGGAGUCAGGGAGGGGAGCUGGUGGCUGCCUCGUAAACGAGGAGAGAUUGGGCGUCAGAGAAGGGCCCUGUGCAGCCCGCCGCCCAGGGCCCCGUAGACUUCAUCUCCCAGCUGUGGUCCAGGGCUGGAAGUCAGCAGGGAGGUCAGGCCGUCCAAGCAUCAACGUUGACUUCAGGGCUGAUCUAAAAGGUGCCUGGUGUCUCUUGAAGCAGAAAAAAGAGAAAGCAGUGGGGAGAGCAUGGGAGGGGGAGGGAGCCCCCCUCCUCAGCCCUUCUCCCUCUCUUCCUCCCUCCCUGCCUCUCACUCUCCCUCUCCCUCCAUCUCUGCCUCUGCCUCUCUCUGUCCCUUCCUCUCCCUCUCUCCUUCCCUCUCUCCCUAUCCCUCUUUCCCUGUCCCUCUCUCCCUCCCUCUCUCCCUGUCCCACUUUCCCUGUGCCUCUCUCCCUCUCCCUCUUUCCCUCUCCCUCUCUCCCUCCCUCUCUCC
RNA transcript from Eubalaena glacialis (North Atlantic right whale), 2901 nucleotides. It is a transcript of the gene named small integral membrane protein 19-like, with no coding region annotated. The record is from RefSeq and is a predicted model, not a curated record. The transcript is spliced from 13 exons. NCBI's taxonomy places the organism in Eukaryota, Metazoa, Chordata, Mammalia, Artiodactyla, Balaenidae.